Molecule: ribosomal RNA, 491 nt
Filed under: uncultured bacterium
Lineage: Bacteria
Description: partial 16S ribosomal RNA
Rfam family: Bacterial small subunit ribosomal RNA
Source: RNAcentral
GUGAACGCUGGCGGUAGGCCUAACACAUGCAAGUCGAACGGCAGCACAAUAAGAGCUUGCUCUUACGGGUGGCGAGUGGCGGACGGGUGAGGAAUACCUCGGAAUCUACUUUUUCGUGGGGGAUAACGUAGGGAAACUUACGCUAAUACCGCAUACGACCUACGGGUGAAAGCAGGGGAUCUUCGGACCUUGCGCGAUUGAAUGAGCCGAUGUCGGAUUAGCUAGUUGGCGGGGUAAAGGCCCACCAAGGCGACGAUCCGUAGCUGGUCUGAGAGGAUGAUCAGCCACACUGGAACUGAGACACGGUCCAGACUCCUACGGGAGGCAGCAGUGGGGAAUAUUGGACAAUGGGCGCAAGCCUGAUCCAGCCAUACCGCGUGGGUGAAGAAGGCCUUCGGGUUGUAAAGCCCUUUUGUUGGGAAAGAAAAGCAGCAGGUUAAUACCCCGCUGUUCUGACGGUACCCAAAGAAUAAGCACCGGCUAACUUCGUG